Long non-coding RNA from Rhipicephalus sanguineus (brown dog tick), 420 nucleotides. RefSeq lists it as uncharacterized. The transcript has 3 exons. The record is from RefSeq and is a predicted model, not a curated record. NCBI's taxonomy places the organism in Eukaryota, Metazoa, Arthropoda, Arachnida, Ixodida, Ixodidae.
ACCAAUCAGGGCGCUAGUUUUCACUGGAACUGGGAGAUUAUCGGAUGCAAAUGGACGACUGACUUCCUGUUCAGGAGUUUCGAAAGCUCACAUGUAUCCUUCGGCUGGGUAUGCGGCAUCUCGCGGAAAUUCGGGGGCGUACUAUUUAUGGCGCGGAAUUUAAUUACUCGCCCGACGCGACGGGCGAGGAAUUCGCUCCGCGCAUUGACACAGGGACUAUAGCAUCCGUGAAGAACAGUUGCCCUUAUAGAGCCGCCUCAGCAAGGCAGGAAGUCUUGCACAAGCCCUGGCAGACGACGAAAGGUGAAUUGCAGAGCACUUGUACAUUCAAACCACCGAGAUCUCUGCUGCAUUGUAGAAGGAGCUUGGAUUCGAAGUCAGCAUCAGGGCGCCGGAGUCAACGCAAACACAAUAUCUUCC